Molecule: non-coding RNA, 23 nt
Filed under: Arabidopsis thaliana (thale cress)
Lineage: Eukaryota; Viridiplantae; Streptophyta; Magnoliopsida; Brassicales; Brassicaceae
Source: RNAcentral
AAAGUUGCGAUAAAAAGACACUA